CCUGUGAGGGUUGCUGGAGGUAUCAGAAGUGCGAAUGCUGACAUAAGUAACGAUAAAGCGGGUGAAAAGCCCGCUCGCCGGAAGACCAAGGGUUCCUGUCCAACGUUAAUCGGGGCAGGGUGAGUCGACCCCUAAGGCGAGGCCGAAAGGCGUAGUCGAUGGGAAACGGGUUAAUAUUCCCGUACUUGGUGUUACUGCGAAGGGGGGACGGAGAAGGCUAUGUUGGCCGGGCGACGGUUGUCCCGGUUUAAGCGUGUAGGUGUGUGUUCCAGGUAAAUCCGGUUCACUUUAACACUGAGGCGUGAUGACGAGGCGCUACGGUGCUGAAGCAACAAAUGCCCUGCUUCCAGGAAAAGCCUCUAAGCAUCAGGUAACAUCAAAUCGUACCCCAAACCGACACAGGUGGUCAGGUAGAGAAUACCAAGGCGCUUGAGAGAACUCGGGUGAAGGAACUAGGCAAAAUGGUGCCGUAACUUCGGGAGAAGGCACGCUGACACGUAGGUGAAGUGAUUUACUCAUGGAGCUGAAGUCAGUCGAAGAUACCAGCUGGCUGCAACUGUUUAUUAAAAACACAGCACUGUGCAAACACGAAAGUGGACGUAUACGGUGUGACGCCUGCCCGGUGCCGGAAGGUUAAUUGAUGGGGUCAGCGCAAGCGAAGCUCCUGAUCGAAGCCCCGGUAAACGGCGGCCGUAACUAUAACGGUCCUAAGGUAGCGAAAUUCCUUGUCGGGUAAGUUCCGACCUGCACGAAUGGCGUAAUGAUGGCCAGGCUGUCUCCACCCGAGACUCAGUGAAAUUGAACUCGCUGUGAAGAUGCAGUGUACCCGCGGCAAGACGGAAAGACCCCGUGAACCUUUACUAUAGCUUGACACUGAACAUUGAGCCUUGAUGUGUAGGAUAGGUGGGAGGCUUUGAAGUGUGGACGCCAGUCUGCAUGGAGCCGACCUUGAAAUACCACCCUUUAAUGUUUGAUGUUCUAACGUGGACCCGUGAUCCGGGUUGCGGACAGUGUCUGGUGGGUAGUUUGACUGGGGCGGUCUCCUCCUAAAGAGUAACGGAGGAGCACGAAGGUUGGCUAAUCCUGGUCGGACAUCAGGAGGUUAGUGCAAUGGCAUAAGCCAGCUUGACUGCGAGCGUGACGGCGCGAGCAGGUGCGAAAGCAGGUCAUAGUGAUCCGGUGGUUCUGAAUGGAAGGGCCAUCGCUCAACGGAUAAAAGGUACUCCGGGGAUAACAGGCUGAUACCGCCCAAGAGUUCAUAUCGACGGCGGUGUUUGGCACCUCGAUGUCGGCUCAUCACAUCCUGGGGCUGAAGUAGGUCCCAAGGGUAUGGCUGUUCGCCAUUUAAAGUGGUACGCGAGCUGGGUUUAGAACGUCGUGAGACAGUUCGGUCCCUAUCUGCCGUGGGCGCUGGAGAACUGAGGGGGGCUGCUCCUAGUACGAGAGGACCGGAGUGGACGCAUCACUGGUGUUCGGGUUGUCAUGCCAAUGGCACUGCCCGGUAGCUAAAUGCGGAAGAGAUAAGUGCUGAAAGCAUCUAAGCACGAAACUUGCCCCGA
Molecule: ribosomal RNA, 1559 nt
Filed under: Salmonella enterica subsp. enterica serovar Oranienburg
Lineage: Bacteria; Pseudomonadati; Pseudomonadota; Gammaproteobacteria; Enterobacterales; Enterobacteriaceae
Description: partial 23S ribosomal RNA
Rfam family: Bacterial large subunit ribosomal RNA
Source: RNAcentral